AAUGAACGUUGGCGGCGUGGAUUAGGCAUGCAAGUCGAGCGAGAACCGUAGCAAUACGGGGACAGCGGCGCAAGGGAGAGUAAUACGUGGAUACGUACCCUCGGGUCCGGGAUAGCUGCGGGAAACUGCAGGUAAUACCGGAUGACAUCUCCGGAUCAAAGGUGUGAUUCCGCCCGGGGAGCGGUCCGCGUCCUAUUAGCUAGUUGGUGAGGUAACGGCUCACCAAGGCUGUGAUGGGUACGGGGUGUGAGAGCAUGCCCCCGCUCACUGGGACUGAGACACUGCCCAGACACCUACGGGAGGCUG
RNAcentral lists this ribosomal RNA (306 nucleotides) under uncultured Planctomycetota bacterium. RNAcentral's name for it is "bacterial SSU rRNA". It matches the Rfam family "Bacterial small subunit ribosomal RNA", at positions 29 to 351 of the family's 1533-position model. The record is from RNAcentral. Lineage: Bacteria; Pseudomonadati; Planctomycetota.